UGUAUCGUUGCUUUCUAUCAAAUUCAGGAU
RNAcentral lists this non-coding RNA (30 nucleotides) under Rattus norvegicus (Norway rat). The record is from RNAcentral. Lineage: Eukaryota; Metazoa; Chordata; Mammalia; Rodentia; Muridae.